AUUGAACGCUGGCGGCAUGCCUUACACAUGCAAGUCGAACGGUAACGCGGGGCAACCUGGCGACGAGUGGCGAACGGGUGAGUAAUAUAUCGGAACGUGCCCAGUGGUGGGGGAUAGCCCGGCGAAAGCCGGAUUAAUACCGCAUACGACCUACGGGUGAAAGCGGGGGAUCGCAAGACCUCGCGCCAUUGGAGCGGCCGAUAUCAGAUUAGGUAGUUGGUGGGGUAAAAGCCUACCAAGCCGACGAUCUGUAGCUGGUCUGAGAGGACGACCAGCCACACUGGGACUGAGACACGGCCCAGACUCCUACGGGAGGCAGCAGUGGGGAAUUUUGGACAAUGGGCGCAAGCCUGAUCCAGCCAUGCCGCGUGCGGGAAGAAGGCCUUCGGGUUGUAAACCGCUUUUGUCAGGGAAGAAAAGCUCUGGGCUAAUAUCCCGGGGUCAUGACGGUACCUGAAGAAUAAGCACCGGCUAACUACGUG
RNAcentral lists this ribosomal RNA (482 nucleotides) under uncultured organism. RNAcentral's name for it is "bacterial SSU rRNA". It matches the Rfam family "Bacterial small subunit ribosomal RNA", at positions 29 to 507 of the family's 1533-position model. The record is from RNAcentral.